UACGUAGGUGGCAAGCGUUGUCCGGAAUUAUUGGGCGUAAAGCGCGCGCAGGCGGUUCUUUAAGUCUGAUGUGAAAGCCCACGGCUCAACCGUGGAGGGUCAUUGGAAACUGGAGAACUUGAGUACAGAAGAGGAAAGCGGAAUUCCACGUGUAGCGGUGAAAUGCGUAGAGAUGUGGAGGAACACCAGUGGCGAAGGCGGCUUUCUGGUCUGUAACUGACGCUGAGGCGCGAAAGCGUGGGGAGCGAACAGG
Molecule: ribosomal RNA, 253 nt
Filed under: uncultured bacterium
Lineage: Bacteria
Description: partial 16S ribosomal RNA
Rfam family: Bacterial small subunit ribosomal RNA
Source: RNAcentral